CCCUGUCCCGACCCAGCCCAUCCUAAUUACCCCUUUCAUUUACCCUAGCAUCUCAUAUCAUAAACAACUCUCUCUCUCUCACCCACUCACUCUCAAAUACUAUCACACAUAUAACAGUCGACCACUCUCUCUUUCACUCUCCAACACCGCUGGCAACAACUGAUAAGGCCAUUGGAUAGCAACCCUAUUGAAGGACAACAAUGCAGUAGCAGUCGACGCUCAUCUCUCUCCGUCGAUGAAUAGUAACGUGCUCAAUCUCUCACCGACCCCAACAGCCGUCGAUGCAGCAAUGCCACGACGGGUGGACAACAACUCCGGCAAUGAUUGUGAUAAUUAAUCCAUUUGAGUGCAAUUUCGUAGGCCCCUUCAAUGAAGAGGCCCAUAAUUCUUGGUUGACAAAAGGAAGGGAUCUAUCUUCUAAAUUCACUCAAGCCUAGUACUAGUAAUUUAAGCAGAAACAAGGACAUUAGUCCAUUUUAUUUCAAAUGUAAUACACCAAGUGAUCAAUCUUUACUUUUUGUUUCAUGUUCAACAGUCAAUUCAAAUGAUGUACUUAUAUGGAACAAACGAUUAAGGCACUUUCCUGUUUCUAAUAUGAGAAAUAUUUUCAACA
This is a long non-coding RNA of Capsicum annuum, 613 nucleotides long. RefSeq lists it as uncharacterized. The record is from RefSeq and is a predicted model, not a curated record. Lineage: Eukaryota; Viridiplantae; Streptophyta; Magnoliopsida; Solanales; Solanaceae. The transcript is spliced from 2 exons.